RNAcentral lists this ribosomal RNA (606 nucleotides) under Levilactobacillus brevis. Its description in RNAcentral is "bacterial SSU rRNA". It matches the Rfam family "Bacterial small subunit ribosomal RNA", at positions 66 to 638 of the family's 1533-position model. Lineage: Bacteria; Bacillati; Bacillota; Bacilli; Lactobacillales; Lactobacillaceae. The record is from RNAcentral.
GCUUCGGUUGUGUGUGUGCUUGCACUGAUUUUUCAUUGAAGCGAGUGGCGAACUGGUGAGUAAACGUGGGAAAUCUGCCCAGAAGCAGGGGAUAACACUUGGAAACAGGUGCUAAUACCGUAUAACAACAAAGUCCGCAUGGGUUUUGUUUGAAAGGAGGCUUCGGCUAUCACUUCUGGAUGAUCCCGCGGCGUAUUAGUUAGUUGGUGAGGUAAAGGCCCCCCCAGACGAUGAUACGUAGCCGACCUGAGAGGGUAAUCGGCCACAUUGGGACUGAGACACGGCCCAAACUCCUACGGGAGGCAGCAGUAGGGAAUCUUCCACAAUGGACGAAAGUCUGAUGGAACCAUGCCGCGUGGGUGAAGAAAGGUUUCGGCUCCGAAAACUCUGUUGUUAAAGAAAAACACCUUUGAGAGUAACUGGUCCAGGGUUGACGGUAUUUAACCAGAAAAGCCACGGCUAACUACGUGCCAGCAGCCGCGGGUAAUACGUAGGUGGCAAGCGUUGUCCGGAUUUAUUGGGGCGUAAAGCGAGCGCAGGCGGGUUUUUUUAAGUCUGAUGUGAAAGCCUUCGGCUUAACCGGAAGAAGUGCAUCGGAAACUGGGA